CACACCGGUCAUCGAGACAAAUUACUGAUGUGAAAACAAAUUGUACAUCGUAGCGGCUUAAAUAAACAAUUACAUCUGAUUAAAGAUUAAAGAUUGCUGCCGAUUUAAAUCAAUUUGAGUACUUUUUGCAUAUAUUUAAUGCCGAAUGGGAAGCUGUGUUUAGACUCAAGUUGUCAAAAAUGGCAACGAGAUACUUGCCUGUUGGAUUUAAGGUGAAAGAUCUUGAAGGUGCAUAAAAUAAGUGGCGCUGGGAAUGGUUACACGAGAAAGACUACGCUGUAGUCUACGGGCGGGGAGUGAACUGGUUGAGAAAAGUGGAAGCUUGUGGAAAAGCGAUUUGAAAAGUUUGUAAGAAAACCCUAAAUUAUCAGUCUUGUGGGAAGAAGGCAUUUCGUCUCCACGCAGAGGACCCUAAUCACAUAAAGAAUAUAAGAACCAUCAAGACCAACCAGGUUUGACCGGGUUCUUCAAAAGCAACACCUGCAGUCGAGUCCAUGCCAGACAGUGGGUGCAUGUGAAUGAAUUGCCUUUUGACUAACUUUUGUGUGUUCCUUAUCAAAUACAUGAAGAUUUUCAAA
Long non-coding RNA from Dreissena polymorpha, 578 nucleotides. RefSeq lists it as uncharacterized. The record is from RefSeq and is a predicted model, not a curated record. The transcript has 2 exons. Lineage: Eukaryota; Metazoa; Mollusca; Bivalvia; Myida; Dreissenidae.